AAGAAUUGAUUACAGAGAUUACUUUAGUAAUAGAAACACUAAGUUGUUACCAUCACUCGUGUCCUAUCUGUAAUUUUAAAAGUAAAAUUGUAGGUCAAAUUCUUCAUUUUAUAGCGGAGUGAACAAUCAAUCACAUCCAAAUUUUGGAUUAUUCUAUGUCAAAUUCAAGCUGUCAUUUUGUAUUUGAUUUGACAUAAAAUAAAUGUUUUUAACGUCAGUCUGUCAUAACGAGUCCUACGUCAUUCUCAGCUGAUAGUGUAAAAGUUUAAACCUUGCAUAAAGUUUAAAUCUUAUUAUUGAUUUAUUAUUAUUUUGUAUUAGAAACAACAAUUUACAAUAAAACAUAUUUAAUACAAAAUGAAAUUUACAAAAAAAUAAAGUCCAAUGAUUAAUUAAUAAUUAGAUGUUAUUUGUUAUCAUCUGUUCUAAGUUCUUAGUCUUGACAACAAAAUAAAUUCGCUUUUUUAUCUAUUUAUUUAUUUUAUUGUUUUAAAGUUUUGUUCGGAAUGCGGCUGUUAUACAAAGAGAUACUACUACAAAGCCGGAGAACUUUUAAAAAAUUUGGCCACAAACAACAGCCAGUGCCAGCUAUAACAGUCCUCUGGCACGGAUUUCUUACGUUUACAUUUAUUGGAAUGGGAAUUAAUUGGAAAAGAAUUUCAAGAUUCAUGUUCGGUGAAGAACCCAAUCAAGAACAGACAUCACCUUUAUCGUUAAAAUAGAUGUAGGUGUUUCAUAUAAUUUUUCAUGACACAAUAAAUUAUCUUUAUUGUAAUUAAUAGAAUAUAACCUAUAGUAACAAAAGUACAUAUUGUUGAUACUUAUUCAGAAGUAAAUAGUUAAUCAAUAAUUCUA
This is a long non-coding RNA of Leptidea sinapis, 855 nucleotides long. RefSeq lists it as uncharacterized. The transcript has 2 exons. Lineage: Eukaryota; Metazoa; Arthropoda; Insecta; Lepidoptera; Pieridae. The record is from RefSeq and is a predicted model, not a curated record.